Hypanus sabinus (Atlantic stingray) is the source of this 437-nucleotide long non-coding RNA. RefSeq lists it as uncharacterized. The record is from RefSeq and is a predicted model, not a curated record. The transcript is spliced from 3 exons. Lineage: Eukaryota; Metazoa; Chordata; Chondrichthyes; Myliobatiformes; Dasyatidae.
AAAGUCAGUCAUUAGGUCAAGUCUAGUCAUAAGAAGGUGAAAAAGCUGGCUGCCUCUCGGACUUUGUAGACAAAUUCGGACCUGCACCUCCGUUUCUCUAAUGGACCGUCAUGGCCUCUGUGGGCGAACUCUCUCGAAGGUUCAAGUACUUACCAGAAAUUCAAGUUUGACUUGACACAGAUCACCUAAAGCCUGCUUGGCAUCGGCCUGAGGUGGAAUGCAACUGCUACCAAAAUGACCCCAGAGAACUCCCGUGGAUGAAGAUGUUGAUGAUCCUGACAACCCCACACUUGCAGACGUGAAACUUUGCCUGAAGGUAUAUUAAACGUCUCACUUUAGAAGUGGAAGUGCUCAACUGUUCUGUUUAAGUUAAUUCCUGUACAUUUACCUUUAUUUUAUCUGUGCCUGUACAGUAUAUUACUUUAUUAAAAUUUCAC